Molecule: non-coding RNA, 30 nt
Filed under: Homo sapiens (human)
Lineage: Eukaryota; Metazoa; Chordata; Mammalia; Primates; Hominidae
Source: RNAcentral
UCCCUGCAUGUGUGCCCAGAGAUCAGGCCC